AUUGAACGCUGGCGGCAGGCCUAACACAUGCAAGUCGAGCGAGCGGCGGACGGGUGAGUAAUGUAUGGGGACUGCCCGAUAGACGGGGAUAACUACUGGAAACGGUAGCUAAUACCGCAUACUAUCGGAUAACCCAUAUGGGAUUAGCUAGUAGGUGAAGUAAUGGCUAACCUAGGCGACGAUCCCUAGCUGGUCUGAGAGGAUGAUCAGCCACACUGGGACUGAGACACGGCCCAGGAUCUUACGGAUGCAGCAGUGGGGAAUAUUGCACAAUGGGCGCAAGCCUGAUUCAGCCAUGCCGAGUGUAUGAAGAAGGCCCAAGGGUUGUAAAGUACUUUCAGUCGGGAGGCGUUACCAACAGAAGAAGCACCGGCUAAAGCCGUGCCAGCAGCCGCGGUAAUUA
Molecule: ribosomal RNA, 403 nt
Filed under: uncultured bacterium
Lineage: Bacteria
Description: partial 16S ribosomal RNA
Rfam family: Bacterial small subunit ribosomal RNA
Source: RNAcentral